Molecule: unclassified non-coding RNA, 231 nt
Filed under: fungal sp.
Lineage: Eukaryota; Fungi
Description: partial internal transcribed spacer region
Rfam family: Eukaryotic small subunit ribosomal RNA (bases 1-46)
Source: RNAcentral
AAGUCGUAACAAGGUAUCCGUAGGUGAACCUGCGGAUGGAUCAUUACCAAAGGAUUUUUCCUGACGUACUGUGAACUGUAUUGAAUGCAUGGUUAGUGGUUUGUUUUGUAGAGAUUAAUUUCUCUACAACAUUACCACUAACUGUAACAAAACGUAUUUACUCUAUAAACUGACGUCUGCUUUAGCUUAAUAAACUAAAGACAACUUUUAGCAAUGGAUCUCUUGGCUCUC